Molecule: long non-coding RNA, 594 nt
Organism: Zootermopsis nevadensis
Lineage: Eukaryota; Metazoa; Arthropoda; Insecta; Blattodea; Termopsidae
Source: RefSeq, a predicted model, not a curated record
CCGAAGCAGUAGCUGAUAAGCCACAAAUUCGACUGAUCCGUCGUUACCUGCUAAAUCUGAUGUUUCAAUUACAUACAAGGCUCCCAGAUGGCAAAACAAGGCUGCAUCAGAUAGUUUAUACCUAAGUUCAUGUUUUGCUCUACAGAUCGAUCUUCUAGGCCAACAAAAAAUAUUUUGUUUGAACAAAUGAAAUUCGUUGAGCUCGAAAGUGAUUUCUCACUUCGGCAAUGGCUGGUGCAAGUUCAAGAAUGGAUGGAGCCGAUUAUUCCGGAAAGUGUGUCUGAAUGUACUGAAAGUGAUUAUGACUGUGCUGCAGAAAAAAGGCACAUCUGCUGACGCUAUGUCCGGCAUUGAAUUUCCGUGUGCAUUGUUUUACAAAAAGUAUUGUAGUUCAGGAGCAGAUAACAGUACAGGCACCAAACUCAUAUCUAAUUAUGCAGAAACAAAUGUUCUUUCUUGCAGGACGAGUGGUGAAGGAGGAAGACAAAACACAAUUUAUGAUUUUACCUCCUGAAAAUGAAUUUUUUUCUGUAAAUAUUAUUUUUAAAUUUUUCAAAAUCGUUUGUAAGCUAAUUAUAACAUUACGAUAUAUGA